AUUGAAAAAUGUGUUUCAAUAUUUCGUAAAUAUUGAUUACUUUUGUGUAUAUAUUUCUUAACAUUUGGUUAAAAAUAACGGACAAUGGUACACAGAAAACAUUAAAUGAAACAUUAUUCACUGGGGUAAAGAAAUGCGCGAUAAAGACGACGAUAAAACGUGAACACAUUCAUGCAUUCAAUACCAAAGUCAACAGUCAUCUUCGAAUCGUAUUUGGAUUCUUGGCAUCUUAUAAAAAGAUAUUCAGUUUGUUCUGAUGCACUUAGUAGCUGUGUAUGGUGAACUGUGGAUGUAAGUAUUUUUCUAUCAUUGAAUGAUUGAUUCUACUAUAUUACUGUAUAAGUCGAAAUGUUGCAGUAUUAAAGGGGCAAAUCAUUCUUAAUACAAUGUAAUUAGUUAUUAUUGCAAAUUUACAAAAUUAUAUCAAGAGAUCAAUUUCCUCUACCCAAUUUUAGUACAGAUAUCAAUACAUUAUUUCUUGCUUCAAUGUUAUAAUAUUAUUAUUUUAAUGCUUCUUGGUAUUAAUAUUAAUGAGGUUGUUUUUGUGCUGCAUUUUAGGGACUGUAAUCACAUGUCAAGGCCUACCAAGUUUGAAAGCUUAUUUUGGGCCGAAUAUGUUUACCGAAUGUACCACUUGGAGCAAUAGGACAAGAAUACAGUUACAGAUUAUUUUAUUUUACCAUUGAAUCAUGUAAUUUGGUAUUGACAAUUGAUUGUAUACAAAAAAAUUGGUAACCGUAUUAAAAUGUUGGUCUGCAUGCCCCUUUGGUAAGCACAAUGAGUGCCAUCACUGCCGUCUGCAUCUUUAAAAAUCCUUGUUAGCAGCAAGUGGGUUCAGCAAAGAAAAUGAUGGAAAAUUUAGCUAUACAAAUUGAGAACUGGAUUGGGAUGUCCUGUUAACACUCAGGAACAUCUUUUAAACCAACCAUCAAACUGCGGGAAAACCAAAUGGUGAUGCAAGACAUAACAGCAUUUGGACGGAAUGGUAGAAAAAUCAAAAUUUAAAAGGAUUCUUAUUAUAAACAAGUAAAUCUUGAAAAAGAAAUGACUUCACAUGACAAUUGAUGAUGAGGGAUGCCCAGCACAAUUUUAAUUGUCUAAAAUAUCGAGUAUAGUGUAUAUCUUAACAGUUGGUAGUUCAUAUUUGAUAACUUAUACUUUAUAGACGUUUUCCCGAAAUGUGGUAUUUUUCAUCUUUGAAAAAAGAUAAUUCUUUACCAAUUUGACCAAACUGGCUGAAAUUUUCAGUGUUAAUAGAUCUCAUCAUGAUAAGUGUUUUCAGCGAUAGAAUUUGGCAUAUGUUGUAAUGCUGCCAUUUUAUCGAGGAAAUAUGCCAGGAUUUUUGGAAGAAAAUCGAACCAAAAUUUUGCAGCAAUGUUGUGCAAAAACUACAUUCAGCAUAAAAAAUUCCAUCGCUGAAAACAAUCUACUUGCUUUGUAGUCAACAAAUAGCUCUUAGUGGUAAAAUUUCAUUAAAAUGGUAAGGCUGUAUUUUUUCCCAACUAACAGUGAUUUGUAUGAGACACACACUGUGUUUAAUUACUAGAUGGCAGGAUAAAUAUUAAAGGUAUG
Non-coding RNA from Paramuricea clavata, 1572 nucleotides. NCBI's taxonomy places the organism in Eukaryota, Metazoa, Cnidaria, Anthozoa, Malacalcyonacea, Plexauridae. The record is from the annotation of a GenBank genome assembly.